RNAcentral lists this transfer RNA (74 nucleotides) under Synergistaceae bacterium. Its description in RNAcentral is "tRNA-Gln". It matches the Rfam family "tRNA". From Rfam's summary of the family: Transfer RNA (tRNA) molecules are approximately 80 nucleotides in length. Their secondary structure includes four short double-helical elements and three loops (D, anti-codon, and T loops). Further hydrogen bonds mediate the characteristic L-shaped molecular structure. tRNAs have two regions of fundamental functional importance: the anti-codon, which is responsible for specific mRNA codon recognition, and the 3' end, to which the tRNAs corresponding amino acid is attached (by aminoacyl-tRNA synthetases). tRNAs cope with the degeneracy of the genetic code in two manners: having more than one tRNA (with a specific anti-codon) for a particular amino acid; and 'wobble' base-pairing, i.e. permitting non-standard base-pairing at the 3rd anti-codon position. Lineage: Bacteria; Thermotogati; Synergistota; Synergistia; Synergistales; Synergistaceae. The record is from RNAcentral.
UGGGGUGUAGCCAAGCGGCAAGGCAACGGACUUUGGCUCCGUGAUCGUUGGUUCGAAUCCAACCACCCCAGCCA